RNAcentral lists this long non-coding RNA (3977 nucleotides) under Panax ginseng (ginseng). RNAcentral describes it as "long non-coding RNA (PGIN_LNC006218)". The record is from RNAcentral. Lineage: Eukaryota; Viridiplantae; Streptophyta; Magnoliopsida; Apiales; Araliaceae.
ACCAUCCAAUAAUAUAUAUAGCCCAAUAAUAUAUGUAGAAAGCAUAUUUUCACAUAUUAAAAUGAUAUUUUUACAUGAAUUUCUCUCGCAUAAAAGUAAGAUCACUCACUAUUCAUGUGCAUGUGAGAGGUAUAUUUAGUUUUUAUUUAAAAAUAUCAGUUCCCUAUAUGUAUACAAGUCCACGGACAUCAGCUUCCAAAUCCUCGAGCUCGAGGGGGCGGAAGAAGGCCUUCUGCUCCAGUACAGUCUUCACUAGCACUGGCAGGCAAGGAGAAGAAGCCUGCAGCUUUAUUUUCCGGGCCAAACACUCUAAUAUUUGUAAACUGGGGAUGGAUUACUUCGUCCAGGACGAGAUGCAACGCCCUCCUGCACAUAGCAGAAUGUAUAUUAACUUGAUUGCAAGAUGAUAGUUUCCAAGAAAAUAUAAGCAGCUAGGAUAUAGUGGGCGCGGUAAUUAGGGGAUAUGCUAUCAUUUUACGUACAAAAUCUACCACAUUAUGAAUAAAUAAUGCAAAACUAAACGAGCCUAGCUAGUAAUGGUAACUUCAGAUCAUGAGGCACUGCGAAGGUAUGCGUCACACAACAACAUCAAGAUAUUCGGGCACAUAAUAUUGAUAGUCAUGGAAUUAGCACGACACCUAAUCUGAUUACCAUAUUAAGAAGCUUCUUGAAAUUAAGAAGCCAAAUUUAGAACACCUAAGCACAUAAUUAAUUCUCCUAAAGAGAAUUAUAGUACAAAUAACCUCAACUACAACAGUAACUUGAUAAAUAUUACUGUAAUAAUUCAAUUUCCAACAUAUCAAAUGCACCACCCUGUGACAAGCUUGCAACCAUAUAUAUGAACAAAUUAAGCCGUUGAUAAAUUUUCCUAGGCCAUGGUUAAAAUCAGAAGGUAAGAUGCCCAUCGAUAAAGGAACAAAAACAAAAAGUAAGCAUUCUCCUUUUAUACUUGCUGUUAAUAUAACCAUAAAUAAACAAAAGGAAAAAAAACCUUAAUUUUCUCAAUUGAAGCCGGUUCAACUUGUAAAAAUUACGGUAAUUGAUCGAGCAACCACAAAAGUUUGGCAAGUUUUAUUUUUUAAUUUUAAUUAACAUUCAUCAAUAUCAAAAAAAUUCACAAGCAUCCCAACCACUAUUAAAUUGAGUGAUAAUUAAAUCCUAACAAUCAAAAAUAGAUUGUUGCUUAGACAAAAGGAAAGAUGACUAGAACCACACAUGUUUUGUUGCUGCAACCAAUGCCACCCUCUAAUUUACCAAAAUGAUGACUGAACCCUUAUCCAACUACAGACACUUCUGCAAGGAUUAAUAAAGAACAGAAUCCCACAUAUAACCCUUUACGUUCAAUCUCGAGGUUAGGUAUAUCCAUAUAUACACAUACAUUAAUUGCUCAACCACCGAGUACGGGCGUCGAACGAAAUCAUAAUUAAUGGGAGUGGUUAGCAUGAAGUAAACUUUAGUCAAUUGACCAAUACAAACUACAAUGUGAAGGCCGGGAGGCAAUCAAUUAACCAUCAUGGUAACUGGAUCCAUAAUAAUUAAUAAAUAUGGAACUACCAACUACAAAGACUGAUCACAACAUUUGAAGGGCAAAAUGCCAUUCACCUUAAAAUGGAAAGUAAAAUGAAUUACAACAUAAGAUAUCGACUUUAUGAUCCUGAUCCAAAAUUUUGUUUCUACAAACACUACCAAAACAGCAUACUCCAUUGACGAUCAUGUUCUAGCAUAUUAGCUACAAGCCUACAACGGUUGGUGGUACUUUAGUUCGACAUUUCUCAAUAAUAAUUAAACUAAAACCAAUAAAUACUCUAGUAGUUCUAUAAUUAUCACAAAUUCGGACGAAUCAAAUUAAAGCAUAAUUAUAAAGGAACUAAAAUUCGAAAUCACCAAAAUACACAUUAAUAGCUCGAAAUUUUCUCAAACGAAUCAAGUAUUAGUACUUGAGAGAUGGAGGAGAAACAGGUCGGGAUGGAUGGAAGAAGCUUCUGCCGCAGAUCUGGUUGAUGAAACGCUUCCAGAAGCCGGCGAGUCUUUGCAAAUUGGCUGCCAUACAAGACGAUACUACUUAUGAUUCAUACUAUACAGUUGAAGAAGUGAAGAAAGGAAGGCUCCGGUUAUUGUCGUCUUAUAUAUCACGUACAAGAUUGUUGAUGGGCUCUCGACUCCAAAAUUUGAAUUUUAUAUAUAAAAUUUAGGUAAGGUUAUAUUGGACUCGUUUAAAAUUCGAUUAAUCGAUUUUUCGAUUAUGAUUUGAUAUAUAUUCGAUUCGAUACCCAAUACAUUCUCUUCCAAUAUAUAUAAAGUUAAAUCAAAUUAGGAAGAUUAACUAUUAUAUUAUUUUAUAUUUAUUUUAAUUUGAGAUUUUAUAUUUGUAAAGUGUAAUAGUAAAUAUAUUUUUUAAUUUCUAAGUAAAAAAUAAAUUCAAUUUAUAAUUAUAUUUAUUAUAAAGCUGGUUAUUAUGUGAAUACUCGAAUUCGGGCUUGAAUUCGAAGUUCACGAGUAGUUUGAAUAUAAAUCGAUUCGAGUCGGAUUGAAUUUGAGAAUUUGAGUAGAGUUUUUCAAAUACAAUUCGAAUUCGAGUCAAAUUCGAUGAUGAAUUUAAUUUUUCGAGUCGAAUUCAAACAACUUUAUGAUCGAUUCAAUUCGAUUGGUUUACACCGUUAUCUAUGUGUCCCUCUAUUCUCUAUCAACGUAUGCUUUCACCAUACACUAUUGAUGAGUGGGUUAAAACUUACGAAUUCGGUAUUUCUUAACUUAGUAUAUUGUUAUUUCUCGAGUAUUGCAUGUUACUUUUUAUGGUUUUUGUGUUAAUUUGCAAGAAAGAUACACGAAUGGGCUUGAGAGCUGAAAAGGAGGAAAAGAUGAAGAAUUGGACAAACUGGCAGAGUGGAGCGCUGCUGUUACACUGGAGAUGGCGCGCCAGAUAAAUGAAACAUUUUCUAGCAUUCCAAGAGUAAUAAACAUAACAGACACUAUCUGCAAGCCAAAUUAUGAGCAUGCAAUGUAAGAUCCAUCUAGAAGGUAAACAACAAUGUGGGGGUGGGGGAGGUGAUGCAGAACAAGGUCUAGAAUGAUUUAAGGGAUGGGAUAAAGGAGGAAGAAAGAAGGGGAAUUGGAGGAAUUGGGGAGAACCGGUGAAGGAUGCCUGAAGGACAUAAUGGCACAAAGCCUUUAUCUCAAAAUUUAUAUUCAACUCCUUUGUAAAAUGGUUGAAACCUAAGUAAGCAUCAAUUAAUUACUCAAACAAGGCAUAAAACAUGACCUCAACCUCAAGUAUUUUUCACAUCUUUAUCCAAAAUCAGAUUGUACCAGCUCCUAGUUCCAGCCCCCGGGGGAGGAAAGGGUACUAUGAGACCAGUUCUUCAGACAUUCCUUAAAUUAUCAUGUAACUACUUGUGUGUAUACAUUAUACAUAUAUUUCUAUUUUAACUUUAAAUUUUAACAGUAAGAAAUCAUCAGGAAAAUUACAUUUUACGUAUACAGUAAAAACCUUGACCUGGCUAACAAGUUUAGACGGAACUUUCAUUCAAAUAAGUAUAUUCUGAAAAAUUUAAUGGUUAAUCCAAGUAGUUUUAAAUUUUAAUCAAUGCCACGUGAUCUCAUAACUUCUUCCCUCUCUGAUAUAAAUUAAAAAGUCAGGUAAUUCAGCUGAAAUAAAAAACCCUAAAUAGAUUAUCUAUUCAGCCUAAUUCAACAUACAAGAGACUUGAAAAACUUAACUAAACAUAGCCUUCCCCAGCUAGAGGGCAAUCAAUAUAAUAUAAGCAGAGCUGCUGAGAUUUUGUCAUCAAGAUAACUGAGAUUUUGACAUUUAGAUAACUGGUAUAAACCCUAACAAAAACUAACAUAAUAAAGAACUAAAAAGGGAAAAAAUAUAAACAAUUAUUGAACAGGAAAGAGAUGUACUCGCAUCUUACUGUUGCCAAAGAAGGUAUCAAAGAGUUUGCGAAUGGCUUGUUCCAUGACCGCCUUUGAUUGCC